AUUCCUACGGGAGGCAGCAGUGAGGAAUAUUGGUCAAUGGGCGGAAGCCUGAACCAGCCAUCCCGCGUGCAGGAUGACAGCCCUAUGGGUUGUAAACUGCUUUUCUACGCCAAGAAACCUGGUUACGCGUAACCAGUUGCCGGUAGCGUAGGAAUAAGCAUCGGCUAACUCCGUGCCAGCAGCCGCGGUAAUACGGAGGAUGCAAGCGUUAUCCGGAUUCAUUGGGUUUAAAGGGUGCGCAGGCGGGGAUGUAAGUCAGUGGUGAAAUACUGCCGCUUAACGGUAGGGUUGCCAUUGAUACUGCAUUUCUUGAGUUUGGGUGAGGCAGGCGGAAUGUGCAGUGUAGCGGUGAAAUGCAUAGAUAUUGCACAGAACACCGAUUGCGAAGGCAGCUUGCUAACCCAUUACUGACGCUGAGGCACGAAAGCGUGGGGAGCGAAUAGGAUUAGAUACCCUGGUAGUCCACGCCGUAAACGAUGUUCACUCGCUGUUUGCGAUACACAGCAAGCGGCUUAGCAAAAGCAUUAAGUGAACCACCUGGGGAGUACGAUCGCAAGGUUGAAACUCAAAGGAAUUGACGGAAU
This 584-nucleotide ribosomal RNA is filed under the name uncultured bacterium. RNAcentral's name for it is "bacterial SSU rRNA". It matches the Rfam family "Bacterial small subunit ribosomal RNA", at positions 335 to 919 of the family's 1533-position model. The record is from RNAcentral.